RNAcentral lists this non-coding RNA (114 nucleotides) under Protocruzia adhaerens. Lineage: Eukaryota; Ciliophora; Spirotrichea. The record is from RNAcentral.
CAUAUUGAAAGUGAAGGGAGAGAGAUGUUAAAGUGAAAAUGAGAGAAUAAGUACAGAAAAACAAGAUUCGGGUUUCUUGGUUUUUCUAUUUUUUCGUUUUUAUUAUUUUCUGUU